RNAcentral lists this ribosomal RNA (419 nucleotides) under uncultured bacterium. RNAcentral's name for it is "bacterial SSU rRNA". It matches the Rfam family "Bacterial small subunit ribosomal RNA", at positions 111 to 518 of the family's 1533-position model. The record is from RNAcentral.
UAACGCGGUAUCCAACCGUUACCCAUCACUCAGGGAUAGCCCGCCGAAAGGGACGAAUUAAGUACCUGAUGGUCUCCUUCGCGGACAUCUAACGAGGAGUAAAGAUUUAUUGGUGAUGGAUGGGGAUGCGUCUGAUUAGGUAGUAGGCGGGGUAACGGCCCACCUAGCCGACGAUCAGUAGGGUUCUGAGAGGAAGGUCCCCCACAUUGGAACUGAGACACGGUCCAAACUCCUACGGGAGGCAGGCAGUGAGGAAUAGUUGGUCAAUGGACGGAAGUCUGAACCAGCCAAGUAGCGUGACCAGGAUGGACGGCCCUAUGGGUUGUAAACUGCUUUUGUGCGGGAAUAAAGUAUGGGACGUGUCCCAUUUUGCAUGUACCGCACGAAUAAGGACCGGCUAAUUCCGUGCCAGCCGCUGC